This is an RNA transcript of Manis javanica (Malayan pangolin), 1001 nucleotides long. It is a transcript of the gene named peptidyl-prolyl cis-trans isomerase E-like, with no coding region annotated. The record is from RefSeq and is a predicted model, not a curated record. NCBI's taxonomy places the organism in Eukaryota, Metazoa, Chordata, Mammalia, Pholidota, Manidae.
UUAGCUUUGUGUUUAGCUUGCUGUUGAAGGAUGUGAGCUCCCAACAUAGAAUUAAUCGUGAGCAAGUCUCAGACUUCUUAGAUGUGAAUGGAAGGCUGUCAGGUCUUCUUUUAAGCUAACCAGGUUUAAGCAGCUAAGUUGUAUUACGGUCUUUCCAGACUGAAUCUGAGCUCUUUGGGUGGAUAAUUCGUGUCAGAUUGGCCAAACCAGUGAGGAUUAAGGAAAGCUCAUCCAGACCAGAUGGUGACUGGCUGAAGAAGUUUUCCAGUAGGACCCUUGGAGAGACUAAAGAAGAGGAAGGGUUGGAGCCUUCCAAGGUGGAAGCCCAGGAGGGAACGCCCUCUGCAAAGAAGGCCCGGUCAAAUCCCCAGGUGUACAUGGACGUCAGGAUUGGGAACAAGCCUGAUGGCCACAACCACAUACCCCUGCAUUCCAGUGCGUUCCCAGGACCACAGGCCUGCUUUCCAUGGCCAACUCUGGACCAAACACCAAUGGCUCCCAGUUCUUCCUGACAUGUGACAAGACGGAUUGGCUGGAUGGCAAGCACGUGGUGUCACGGAAGGCCUGGAUGUCUUGCGGCAGAUUGAGGCCGAAGGUAGCAAGGACAGGAAGCCAAAGCAGAAGGUGAUCAUUGCUGACUGUGGGGAGUACAUGUGAGAUGGGGCCUUUUCUGCUCUGUCCCCACGUGUCCAGGAGCUGUCAGCCCCGGGAACUGUACCUGAGGGUGUCCUGUUUGCAGCAAGCAGGAGUUUGUGUCGUAGCCCUUCUCGGGAUCACCUUGGAGCAGCUCCUCUGUGGGAGUGGCCUGGGAUCCCUCUGGCUCUUUCCCAGUGUGACCAUGGGCCUGGGAGCUGGUACAGGCCCCACUGCCCUACCGUGGACAGGCUGUGCAUGACCUUUUCCAGGCCUUUGCUGCCAGGACCUCUCUUGGGCCCACCAGUGUGGCUCUGGAUGUUUCUUCUGGUAAAAUAAACCCUCAUUCUUGUAGUGCUGCCUGCCCU